UUAUAUUGAAAGCAUCCAUCAACAUCCCUACAACUUAACUAAACUUAACCGAGGAACAUCAUCCAACAGGAACAACAUCCCUACAACUUAACUAAAACUGAAAGUUCCAUCACCAUCAUCAUGAACCGGAGCAUCGGCAUCAUCAUUGCAGUAUACUUGUCACGCACCCAUAUAAAUCCAUAUAUCUUUUGAAUCUACAAAGAAAUUAACAAAAUAAUCUGUUAAUACACAAUGCAUUAACAUGAUGCAAGUAGUGCUGGAGGCAAAGAUAUUAGACAUGUACAAGGUUGAAGCCCAUGUAAUCUUUGUUUUUCCUGCAUUACCAAGAGUACUAAUGUUCCUGAUGCUACAUGUUAUCCAUCGAGAUUCCAAUAUUAUCAAGAAUGAUGAGAGAAAAACAUAGAUAAAAAUCUCGGCGAAAAACUUCAGGCAGAAUGAACAAUUUAUCCUGGCACAAUAAAGGGCUCACCUAAGAUAAACUGAUUUGGUUGAUUGGUACCACAAAACUUGUUUACACGAAGAAAACCUAGAAGAAGUCAGGCCUUCUCUCUUUCAAAGGAAGGAAUUUGCCAACAUGUGUAUUCUAUCAAAAUAGUCAAUCUAAUACGUACUCUCAAUAUGUAGUAUCGUCUUAAUAUGGAAAUGGACUGAUGUAUCUUAACAAGGAUACCAAUAAGAAUUCUUGUACCCAGGAAAUUGUCACCUCAGGGGUAGCACAAUAGCUUGAAAAGGCAAAACACAGAUAAAAGGGUGCAGCUAAAAAGAUCCAAAAG
RNAcentral lists this long non-coding RNA (773 nucleotides) under Triticum aestivum (bread wheat). Its description in RNAcentral is "long non-coding RNA (TAES_LNC002374)". Lineage: Eukaryota; Viridiplantae; Streptophyta; Magnoliopsida; Poales; Poaceae. The record is from RNAcentral.